This 1405-nucleotide ribosomal RNA is filed under the name Enterobacter sp. VH-23A. RNAcentral describes it as "bacterial SSU rRNA". It matches the Rfam family "Bacterial small subunit ribosomal RNA". The record is from RNAcentral. Lineage: Bacteria; Pseudomonadati; Pseudomonadota; Gammaproteobacteria; Enterobacterales; Enterobacteriaceae.
GUCGAACGGUAGCACAGAGAGCUUGCUCUCGGGUGACGAGUGGCGGACGGGUGAGUAAUGUCUGGGAAACUGCCUGAUGGAGGGGGAUAACUACUGGAAACGGUAGCUAAUACCGCAUAAUGUCGCAAGACCAAAGAGGGGGACCUUCGGGCCUCUUGCCAUCAGAUGUGCCCAGAUGGGAUUAGCUAGUAGGUGGGGUAACGGCUCACCUAGGCGACGAUCCCUAGCUGGUCUGAGAGGAUGACCAGCCACACUGGAACUGAGACACGGUCCAGACUCCUACGGGAGGCAGCAGUGGGGAAUAUUGCACAAUGGGCGCAAGCCUGAUGCAGCCAUGCCGCGUGUAUGAAGAAGGCCUUCGGGUUGUAAAGUACUUUCAGCGGGGAGGAAGGUGUUGUGGUUAAUAACCGCAGCAAUUGACGUUACCCGCAGAAGAAGCACCGGCUAACUCCGUGCCAGCAGCCGCGGUAAUACGGAGGGUGCAAGCGUUAAUCGGAAUUACUGGGCGUAAAGCGCACGCAGGCGGUCUGUCAAGUCGGAUGUGAAAUCCCCGGGCUCAACCUGGGAACUGCAUUCGAAACUGGCAGGCUGGAGUCUUGUAGAGGGGGGUAGAAUUCCAGGUGUAGCGGUGAAAUGCGUAGAGAUCUGGAGGAAUACCGGUGGCGAAGGCGGCCCCCUGGACAAAGACUGACGCUCAUGUGCGAAAGCGUGGGGGAGCAAACAGGAUUAGAUACCCUGGUAGUGCACGCCGUAAACGAUGUCGAUUUGGAGGUUGUGCCCUUGAGGCGUGGCUUCCGGAGCUAACGCGUUAAAUCGACCGCCUGGGGAGUACGGCCGCAAGGUUAAAACUCAAAUGAAUUGACGGGGGCCCGCACAAGCGGUGGAGCAUGUGGUUUAAUUCGAUGCAACGCGAACAACCUUACCUGGUCUUGACAUCCACAGAACUUUCCAGAGAUGGAUUGGUGCCUUCGGGAACUGUGAGACAGGUGCUGCAUGGCUGUCGUCAGCUCGUGUUGUGAAAUGUUGGGUUAAGUCCCGCAACGAGCGCAACCCUUAUCCUUUGUUGCCAGCGGUCCGGCCGGGAACUCAAAGGAGACUGCCAGUGAUAAACUGGAGGAAGGUGGGGAUGACGUCAAGUCAUCAUGGCCCUUACGACCAGGGCUACACACGUGCUACAAUGGCGCAUACAAAGAGAAGCGACCUCGCGAGAGCAAGCGGACCUCAUAAAGUGCGUCGUAGUCCGGAUUGGAGUCUGCAACUCGACUCCAUGAAGUCGGAAUCGCUAGUAAUCGUAGAUCAGAAUGCUACGGUGAAUACGUUCCCGGGCCUUGUACACACCGCCCGUCACACCAUGGGAGUGGGUUGCAAAAGAAGUAGGUAGCUUAACCUUCGGGAGGGCGCUACC